This 170-nucleotide ribosomal RNA is filed under the name Salvelinus malma (Dolly Varden). RNAcentral describes it as "partial 12S rRNA". Lineage: Eukaryota; Metazoa; Chordata; Actinopteri; Salmoniformes; Salmonidae. The record is from RNAcentral.
CACCGCGGUUAUACGAGAGGCCCUAGUUGAUAACUACCGGCGUAAAGAGUGGUUACGGAAAAAUGUUUAAUAAAGCCGAACACCCCCUCAGCCGUCAUACGCACCUGGGGGCACGAAGACCUACUGCGAAAGCAGCUUUAAUUAUACCCGAACCCACGACAGCUACGAAA